This 378-nucleotide ribosomal RNA is filed under the name uncultured Denitratisoma sp. Its description in RNAcentral is "bacterial SSU rRNA". It matches the Rfam family "Bacterial small subunit ribosomal RNA", at positions 68 to 448 of the family's 1533-position model. The record is from RNAcentral. Lineage: Bacteria; Pseudomonadati; Pseudomonadota; Betaproteobacteria; Nitrosomonadales; Sterolibacteriaceae.
GGCGGCGCGGGGGGACCCUGGCGGGGAGCGGGGAACGGGUGCCUUAUUAUUGCGGAACGUGUCCGGGACUGGGGGAUAACCAGUCUAAAGAUGGGAUAAUACCGCGUACGAUCUACGGAUGAAAGCGGGGGACCGCAAGGCCUCGCGCUAUUGGAGCGGCCGAUGUCCGAUUAGCUAGGUGGCGGGGUAAAAGCCCACCAAGGCGACGAUCGGUAGCUGGUCUGAGAGGAUGAUCAGCCACACUGGGACUGAGACACGGCCCAGACUCCUACGGGAGGCAGCAGUGGGGAAUAUUGGACAAUGGGCGCAAGCCUGAUCCAGCCAUGCCGCGUGAGUGACGAAGGUCUUCGGAUUGUAAAGCUCUUUUGGCGGGGACGA